Long non-coding RNA from Fundulus heteroclitus (mummichog), 796 nucleotides. RefSeq lists it as uncharacterized. The record is from RefSeq and is a predicted model, not a curated record. Lineage: Eukaryota; Metazoa; Chordata; Actinopteri; Cyprinodontiformes; Fundulidae. The transcript has 4 exons.
GAUAGGAACUAGGAGUUAGGAGCAGGAGAUAGGAGGUAGGAGCUAAAAGCUAGGAGCAGGAGUUAGGAGAUAGGAACCAUGAGUUAGGAGCAGGAGAUAGGAGGUAGGAGCUAAAAGCUAGGAGCAGGAGUUAGGAGAUAGGAACUAGGAGUUAGGAGCAGGAGUUAGGAGAUAGGAACUAGGAGUUAGGAGCUAAAAGCUAGGAGCAGGAGUUAGGAGUUAGGAACCAUGAGUUAGGAGCAGGAGUUAGGAGGUAGGAGCUAAAAGCUAGGAGCAGGAGUUAGGAGAUAGGAACUAGGAGUUAGGAGCAGGAGAUAGGAGGUAGGAACUAGGAGUUAGGAGCAGGAGUUAGGAGAUAGGAACUAGGAGUUAGGAGCUAAAAACUAGGAGCAGGAGUUAGGAGUUAGGAACCAUGAGUUAGGAGCAGGAGUUAGGAGGUAGGAGCUAAAAGCUAGGAGCAGGAGUUAGGAGAUAGGAACUAGGAGUUAGGAGCAGGAGAUAGGAGGUAGGAACUAGGAGUUAGGAGCAGGAGUUAGGAGGUAGGAGCUAAAAGCUAGGAGCAGGAGUUAGGAGAUAGGAACCAUGAGUUAGGAGCAGGAGAUAGGAGGUAGGAGCUAAAAGCUAGGAGCAGGAGUUAGGAGAUAGGAACUAGGAGUUAGGAGCAGGAGAUAGGAGGUAGGAACUAGGAGUUAGGAGCAGGAGUUAGGAGGUAGGAGCUAAAAGCUAGGAGCAGGAGUUAGGAGAUAGGAACCAGGAGUUAGGAGCAGGAGAUAGGAGAUAGGAACUAGGAGUUAGG